This 497-nucleotide ribosomal RNA is filed under the name uncultured bacterium. RNAcentral describes it as "partial 16S ribosomal RNA". It matches the Rfam family "Bacterial small subunit ribosomal RNA", at positions 28 to 507 of the family's 1533-position model. The record is from RNAcentral.
GACGAACGCUGGCGGCGUGCCUAAUACAUGCAAGUUGAGCGCUGAAGGUUGGUACUUGUACCAACUGGAUGAGCAGCGAACGGGUGAGUAACGCGUGGGGAAUCUGCCUUUGAGCGGGGGACAACAUUUGGAAACGAAUGCUAAUACCGCAUAAAAACUUUAAACACAAGUUUUAAGUUUGAAAGAUGCAAUUGCAUCACUCAAAGAUGAUCCCGCGUUGUAUUAGCUAGUUGGUGAGGUAAAGGCUCACCAAGGCGAUGAGACAUAGCCGACCUGAGAGGGUGAUCGGCCACAUUGGGACUGAGACACGGCCCAAACUCCUACGGGAGGCAGCAGUAGGGAAUCUUCGGCAAUGGACGAAAGUCUGACCGAGCAACGCCGCGUGAGUGAAGAAGGUUUUCGGAUCGUAAAACUCUGUUGGUAGAGAAGAACGUUGGUGAGAGUGGAAAGCUCAUCAAGUGACGGUAACUACCCAGAAAGGGACGGCUAACUACGUG